UACAGAGGUGGCAAGCGUUGUUCGGAAUUACUGGGCGUAAAGUGUGCGCAGGCGGCAGAGCAAGUCGAGUGUGAAAGCCCCGGGCUUAACUUGGGAAUUGCGCUCGAAACUACUUUGCUGGAGUGUGGCAGAGGAAGGUGGAAUUCCACGUGUAGCGGUGAAAUGCGUAGAUAUGCGGAGGAACACCGAUGGCGAAGGCAAUCCCCUGGGCCUGCACUGACGCUCAUGCACGAAAGCGUGGGGAGCAAACAGG
Molecule: ribosomal RNA, 253 nt
Filed under: uncultured bacterium
Lineage: Bacteria
Description: partial 16S ribosomal RNA
Rfam family: Bacterial small subunit ribosomal RNA
Source: RNAcentral